RNAcentral lists this ribosomal RNA (253 nucleotides) under uncultured bacterium. RNAcentral's name for it is "partial 16S ribosomal RNA". It matches the Rfam family "Bacterial small subunit ribosomal RNA", at positions 524 to 776 of the family's 1533-position model. The record is from RNAcentral.
UACGUAGGGUGCAAGCGUUGUCCGGAAUUACUGGGCGUAAAGGGCUCGUAGGCGGCCAACUAAGUCGGACGUGAAAUCCCCAGGCUUAACCUGGGAACUGCGUCCGAUACUGGAUGGCUUGAAUUCGGGAGAGGGAUGCAGAAUUCCAGGUGUAGCGGUGAAAUGCGUAGAUAUCUGGAGGAAUACCGGUGGCGAAGGCGGCAUCCUGGACCGACAUUGACGCUGAUGAGCGAAAGCUAGGGGAGCAAACGGG